GUUUUCGAGUGUCCACACUGCGACGGGACAGCUCUGUUUUAAAAUGUAUCCAUUUUCGAGAGCGUUUUCAAAACGUUGCAUUUUUCCUUGAGGAAAACGCCGUCUCAGUGUGGAAGGGAGAGAAAACGAUGCGUUUUCAAACGAAAAAGCAUUAGUGUGUACGUAGCCGUUAUCCAGUGACCGUAAAAGUACUACGGAAAUUUUGUCUGUUACUGCCAGUGUACUUGGUGCAAAUACUGUGGCAAGGAGAAUGUCUGCAAUGUCUGCAGAUGCAUUAUAACAGUUGGAAUUGGACAUGCAGAGGUGCAAAUCAUUUUUAAUUCAGUGUGCGGAGUCUGUCAACUCCAGUGAUACAGGCCAGCUGGCUGCUUUCAUUCAGAUGGUGUUUGGUGACUUUUUUACUUAAACUGAAAACUACAAGCAGAGCAGCGGAUAUUUACAAUCACUGAAGGACUACGUUGUAGGAAAAAAAAACAUGCCUGUUGAAAAGCUCGUGUCUGUGACAACUGAUGGAGCACCUGCUGUGGCAGGUUGUUACUCAGGAGUUUAGUUUCUAAACUAUCAUUGCAUCACUUACCAAUAGGCUAUAUGCCCAAAAGUUAUGGAAUUUGACCAUGUGGUGCUGCCUGUUGUUAAUAAUGUUAAUGUCAUCAGCUCCAUUUGAGCAAAGGCAAAGCAACACCGAAGCUUCAGGUUGUUCCUGGAGGAAUGUUCUGCUGAGUAUGGGGAUCUCCUCCUCCACACUGAACUCAGAUGGUUAAGUCGAGAUUUCCCUGGACCUGCUCCUGUGUUUCCUGGAUGACCGCGCUUGUGUCUUUGGAGUGAAGCCAGUUUGCGUGAGGAGAUUCGGAGUGCGGAAAUGGAGCGACUGAGCGAGGGAGUGAAGCGUGUGGAGUGAACGGAGCGAGGAUCAAAGAGCAAGGAUGGAGUGUUUCUUCCCUGCACCCGCUGAGGAUCCCUGGAGCCCUGUCUGUCCCCUCACGUUGUAUAUAGUUCACCUGGUGCUUAGUGUAGAUAAAGACUGUUUUCUGCUUUGAUUCCAAGUCUUCGUAGGAGUCCAUUCUGUCAGCCCUGACACUUGCAAGUGAACUAAAUAUUUUUUUUAAGUGUUAAUGCAAAAAGUAAGUUGUGGACAACAUCAUUUUGUAAAUAUUCCCAAAAACAAGCUUUUUGGGGUUGUUUGAGUUGAAAUGAGGUAUGAAAUGUUAGAAAGCAUGAGUAGCUCUGGGGGAGGGGGGGGGGAAUCCCUGCCUUAGAGUAUCUGCUGGUAAAGCUAAAAGCUAACCAUUAAAAACAGCACACAUGUUAAGCCUUAAUAAGAUUUAAAAUAAACUUAUCCAGCUGUUUCAAGGUGUUUAAUAUGAGGAGUGAAUCAGAUGCACACUUAAUGGAACUGAAAGCAAGCCAUUUAUUGUGGGCUGACAGCAGGUUGUACAAAACUUGAAACAAGUACAAAAUAAUAAAAAUGAACAAUAAACUUAAUAAAACCAGAAACUAGAAAACAUACUAAGGCUAGCAAUACUAGGGGAGAACAGACACUGACAAAGGACAAGGAGAGACAGCAGCUUUAUAUACAAAGAAAGGCAAUUAGGGGAAGUGGACAGAUGGGGAGAACAAGACACAGGUGAACAGAGUCAAAGG
Oreochromis aureus is the source of this 1641-nucleotide long non-coding RNA. Lineage: Eukaryota; Metazoa; Chordata; Actinopteri; Cichliformes; Cichlidae. The record is from Ensembl.